Molecule: long non-coding RNA, 335 nt
Organism: Mugil cephalus (flathead mullet)
Lineage: Eukaryota; Metazoa; Chordata; Actinopteri; Mugiliformes; Mugilidae
Exons: 3
Source: RefSeq, a predicted model, not a curated record
GGCUGCCUCCUGCUGGGGAUGACUGCUGCCACCAAGGAGUGUCUGAUCCGCUCUAGCUGUCUCUCCCCGCGUGGCGUGGCCGACUACCGCUGUCCCUUUCCCAGACUGUCUGCUCGCUCGUUCUUUUUCCACGGCCGCCCGUUUCUAUGGCAACCGGAGGAGAAGUAGACAAGGCCGUGGCACCGUCAAGCAGGCAGCACACAGGCGGCUGGGAUCCUAGUGAGGUGGGGGAAUACCCACAGGGAGGUUCACUUUGCUUCCUUGCCUUGCUGGGAUCCCCUCCAAACACGGCGAUGUUCUGUUGGACCCAAAGAAGAGCUGCCUGCUGGUCCAAG